GGGGCGGGGCGCUCCAGGUGGCCACCUGGCUCGGCGUCCGGCCUCGCCCUUGCCCAACCGCCAUGCCGCCGUACCCCUUCGCCUCUGGAGAGCAGCCGGCCCCUGUACCCGGCCAGCCUCGCCGGGCCUAAGGAACCCGCGGUUUGCAAGGUGCCUCUAAAUGCCCUCUUCCUCCGAAGCCCCUUCCACCAGACCCCAGGCGAGCCCAGGUUGAGCCCCCAGUCUCUUCUGGGCUGCGGAAGAGGAAGCGGCAACGCUGUCCGCAGGGCAGAGAACGGAGAUUGAAAAAGCCAAUUUAUUCCUGAAAGCAGCUCAGACCUGCGUGUUGCUUGCUGCCUCCUGAAACAGAUCUACUUAAUGGAAAAGACUUUGCCUCAAGAUUCUCUGCAAAAUAUGGUGCUCUAAACUCAGUAUUCAAUAGAGAUCAUUAUUUACAAGCUAGAGGAAGCAGAGCAGUUGGACAAGAUUCUCAGGCAUUUUCUUUACCAGGGAAGAGAGACUUGGGGAACCAGUUGUCCAAGCUGGGAUGUCUGCAGGGUCUUCUCUCCAGUUGCUUGCAAUCCUGCAAAGCAUGGUGGUCCAUGCCAAGCACCCCAGUUGCUUACCCCUGAUUCCCAUCCCCUUCUGUUCCUCUUGCUCUAACAAGAGGGAGAGGCUGUUUUUCCAGAAGUCCCUCUUGGUGGGAGAAAUCAGAAACCCCAAAAACUCAGGAAAGUGAAAGAGCACAGCCUUUUAAAAGGAGAGGUCAAUCCUAAACUCUGAGAACCCGCUCCCCUGUUUUCUGUCUAUCUAGUACCUUCUUUCGUGUUCAGAUUUCCACUGAGGCUAAGAGGUCUGGACAAAUGCCUAUCUUCUUGACCUUUAUAGCUUUCCUCCCUUUUGUUCCUCUCUGCUCCAAAGAGCUUUUUCUUCUUUUUUAGCAAUAAAAUAAUUAUAUAAACACCCUUCUGGAACUCUUCCCCGAACUACAUGAAAUAAUACACCCACCCCCGUACUCCGAGCUCCCUAGCCCCUUCACCCUCCUUCUGCCCACCCAGCAAAGCAUAUGUUUACUCAAUGUUUUUUCUCCCCACCUUUCCCAAAAUUGUAAGCUCCCUGAGGGCAGUAAGUUUGUCUUUCACUACUGUGUUCCCAGAGGCCAGCAUACACAUUAUAGGCAUUCUAUAAAUAUUUGUUGAAUUCAUGAAUACAUGUGCCUUGAUUGGACAGUAUAAACAGAGAAUGAAACAAACUUGCAUAAAACAAUUUUUCUAGUAUUUUUUCAUGUAAGAGUGUGAUGAAUAUCUGGUAAAGGGUUACAGAAUUACCCAACCGGUGUUAAGACUGUCAAAGGCAUUCUGAACCUGUCCCUCAUAAUAAUAGGAAAAUAAAUGGCUUUUGCUUUCA
Long non-coding RNA from Manis javanica (Malayan pangolin), 1386 nucleotides. RefSeq lists it as uncharacterized. Lineage: Eukaryota; Metazoa; Chordata; Mammalia; Pholidota; Manidae. The record is from RefSeq and is a predicted model, not a curated record.